RNAcentral lists this ribosomal RNA (674 nucleotides) under uncultured bacterium. RNAcentral's name for it is "bacterial SSU rRNA". It matches the Rfam family "Bacterial small subunit ribosomal RNA", at positions 9 to 675 of the family's 1533-position model. The record is from RNAcentral.
GAGUUUGAUCCUGGCUCAGGAUGAACGCUAGCGACAGGCUUAACACAUGCAAGUCGAGGGGCAGCACGAUGUAGCAAUACAUUGGUGGCGACCGGCGCACGGGUGAGUAACGCGUAUGCAACCUACCUAUCAGAGGGGAAUAACCCGGCGAAAGUCGGACUAAUACCGCAUAAAACAGGGGUUCCACAUGGAAAUAUUUGUUAAAGAAUUAUCGCUGAUAGAUGGGCAUGCGUUCCAUUAGAUAGUUGGUGAGGUAACGGCUCACCAAGUCCACGAUGGAUAGGGGUUCUGAGAGGAAGGUCCCCCACACUGGUACUGAGACACGGACCAGACUCCUACGGGAGGCAGCAGUGAGGAAUAUUGGUCAAUGGGCGAGAGCCUGAACCAGCCAAGUCGCGUGAAGGAUGAAGGAUCUAUGGUUUGUAAACUUCUUUUAUAUGGGAAUAAAGUGAGGAACGUGUUCCUUUUUGUAUGUACCAUAUGAAUAAGCAUCGGCUAACUCCGUGCCAGCAGCCGCGGUAAUACGGAGGAUGCGAGCGUUAUCCGGAUUUAUUGGGUUUAAAGGGUGCGUAGGUGGUUAAUUAAGUCAGCGGUGAAAGUUUGUGGCUCAACCAUAAAAUUGCCGUUGAAACUGGUUGACUUGAGUAUAUUUGAGGUANGCGGAAUGCGUGGUG